UAUUUUAUAAUAAAUUAUUUUUAGUAAAUAUUUUAAUAAAUUAUUUUUAUUAGAUCAUAUAUGAUUAGGGGUCUCAAUGAGCUGAACACGAGCAAACUGAGGUCGGCUCGUGUCGAACACGAGCUGGCUCGUUAAAGCAUCUAGUCGGAAAAUUUAGCUCGUGUUCGGCUCGUUUAUUAACGAGCCAAAUACUACCCGGCUCACUAACGAUAAGUUAAAAGAAUUAAAAAAGAUAUGUACAGAAAAUAAAUUUAUGAGAUUAUAUGAGUCCCAUCAAGUUUUGAUCUAAUGGUUGAAACUUGUUUACAUAUACACCGGACAUUUUUAUAAUUGAGUUAGUUUUUAUAUUUAGGUUAGACUAAAAAUUAAAUAAUAAAAAUUUAUAUUAUAUAUAUAAUUAUUUAUUUAUUUAUAUAAAUAUAAAUUAUAUAAAUAUAAAAUAUAUGUAUUUGAGCUAUUAUCGAGCCGAACACAAAUAAGCUAACCCCAGCUCGUGUUCGACUCGUUUAUUAAACGAGCUAAAAAAUUCAGCUCGUAUUUGACUCGUUUACUAAACAAGCGACUUUAUCUCGAACUAAUUUCAAGCUCACCACUAGCCAGCUCGCGAACAACGAGCUGGAUUGCCACCCUUAUAUAUGAUAUCAAAUUCAUCCAUUAUAUUUUUUGCAUUAUCUUUUACUAUUCCAUAAAAUUAGCCAAACAUAUUUUAAGUUAUAUCUUCGUAUAGCAACAUUAUAAAUCAAACACAAUUUUACGUUUGCUGUCGACUAUUACGAAAUAGUCAGUUAUUUUAGGGAUAGUCAGUUAUCUCAAUGUACGUUAUACGCGAAUCAAAUGGAUCCAAGAGUUUUUAGUAUUAAUAAAAAAUGAUAAGACUAGUGUG
RNAcentral lists this long non-coding RNA (883 nucleotides) under Ananas comosus (pineapple). Its description in RNAcentral is "long non-coding RNA (ACOM_LNC031694)". The record is from RNAcentral. Lineage: Eukaryota; Viridiplantae; Streptophyta; Magnoliopsida; Poales; Bromeliaceae.